This 85-nucleotide transfer RNA is filed under the name Bacillus atrophaeus C89. RNAcentral describes it as "tRNA-Ser". It matches the Rfam family "tRNA". Rfam says of the family: Transfer RNA (tRNA) molecules are approximately 80 nucleotides in length. Their secondary structure includes four short double-helical elements and three loops (D, anti-codon, and T loops). The record is from RNAcentral. Lineage: Bacteria; Bacillati; Bacillota; Bacilli; Caryophanales; Bacillaceae.
GGAGGGGUAGCGAAGUGGCUAAACGCGGCGGACUGGAAAUCCGCUCCCUCAGGGUUCGGCAGGUCGAAUCUGCCCCCCCCCCCCA